UGGGGAAUAUUGGACAAUGGGCGCAAGCCUGAUCCAGCCAUGCCGCGUGGGUGAAGAAGGCCUUCGGGUUGUAAAGCCCUUUUGUUGGGGAAGAAAUCGUGCAGGUGAAUAUCCUGCGCGGAUGACGGUACCCAAAGAAUAAGCACCGGCUAACUUCGUGCCAGCAGCCGCGGUAAUACGGAGGGUGCAAGCGUUACUCGGAAUUACUGGGCGUAAAGCGUGCGCAGGCGGCUUUGUAAGACAGAUGUGAAAUCCCCGGGCUCAACCUGGGAACUGCAUUUGUGACUGCAAGGCUAGAGUGCGUCAGAGGGAGGUGGAAUUCCGCGUGUAGCAGUGAAAUGCGUAGAGAUGCGGAGGAACACCGAUGGCGAAGGCAGUCUCCUGGGAUGACACUGACGCUCAUGCACGAGAGCGUGGGGAGCAAACA
This 427-nucleotide ribosomal RNA is filed under the name uncultured bacterium. RNAcentral's name for it is "bacterial SSU rRNA". It matches the Rfam family "Bacterial small subunit ribosomal RNA", at positions 355 to 774 of the family's 1533-position model. The record is from RNAcentral.